GCCGAAAUCCGUUUAAUGCUAAUCUGGCAACCCCGAGCCAUUUUUCCGCUUUCUUUAUUGUCCUCCCUCUCUUUAGCCCUUCUUUUCCCUCUGACUUCUUCGCCUGCUCUAUAGCGUGGUGGAGCUGUCAGAGCCCGAAACGACACAUUUCUUAGUUUAAAGUUCUUUCAUUGUCCUCGAGGUUAUAUACUCUUCUGAUUGUUAGUGUCUCCUCUUCCUACAUUGUCCAGUCGCCACCUUGGCUCUAAGACUAUUCGCCAUUCUCUGGCCCCCCCACGUGAUAAUCUGUCCAGCAUUCUGAUUUGGGUCUGAUUGUGUCUGUCUGACUCUUUGCAAUCCUUGCGAGUCACUCUCUUCUCACUUUUGUGUGUGCAAUCCCAGAAGCCACACGUUGUCUCUGAAUACAAUAUUCAUUCAUCCAUCAGCCUACAGUCAGGCCACGAGAAAUUUAAUUCAAGGGUUCCAUCAAGGGAACAU
Long non-coding RNA from Daphnia pulicaria, 477 nucleotides. RefSeq lists it as uncharacterized. The record is from RefSeq and is a predicted model, not a curated record. Lineage: Eukaryota; Metazoa; Arthropoda; Branchiopoda; Diplostraca; Daphniidae. The transcript is spliced from 4 exons.